CCUUCAGUCGGGUCACUUUUUACAGUAUUUCGUUUGGUAUAAAACAUCUAGUUCUGUGCCACUGAAGUAUAGUUUGAGCUCACAGCCACCAACCAACUAUACAAGAUGCCUAGCCCCUGUGAACCCUGCAAAGACACUUGCGCGGACUCCUGCAAGGAUUCGUGCGCAUGCGCCGAUGACAAGUGCUGUGAUGACGGCUCCAAAGGUGGCUGUUGCUAAACUCAAGACUAUCACAUCUUCACCAGCCUUCUCUUCCACCUUCUAAUGCCUUCGUUCUUCUUCUGAACCAGAAUGUUAGUCAAACUAAUUGCUAACGUGUGUUUUGCUGUGGCCAUAAGCCUUACCUUUCUUACCAUUAUGGCUGCAUACUGUAUUCUAUUGUAAUUUCCUGUAAUAAAUUAUGUUUGGUGAAGGAUA
Plutella xylostella (diamondback moth) is the source of this 417-nucleotide long non-coding RNA. RefSeq lists it as uncharacterized. The record is from RefSeq and is a predicted model, not a curated record. Lineage: Eukaryota; Metazoa; Arthropoda; Insecta; Lepidoptera; Plutellidae.